This is a long non-coding RNA of Stegostoma tigrinum, 779 nucleotides long. RefSeq lists it as uncharacterized. The transcript has 3 exons. Lineage: Eukaryota; Metazoa; Chordata; Chondrichthyes; Orectolobiformes; Stegostomatidae. The record is from RefSeq and is a predicted model, not a curated record.
ACGAGGGCAACAUUUCAAAGAAGAAUAGCAACAACAAUUCCUGACUCAGGACAGCAUGUUAUCAAGUAACUGAUCCUGAAAGCUUUGGAGCUUUGUUUUCAGAUUGAAAAUGUGAAACAGGUACCAGAUCUUGGAAAGUGAUUGGUUCAAGCAACUAUCCAAUUCUCUGCUGAAAGCUGAAUUUGUUGCCACCAUGCUAUGUUCUGAGACCGUGCAUUCCAGAUCCAACAACUUGCUGUUUAAAAAUAAUUUUGCAUCUCAGCUCUGAAGUUCGCUGAAAAGCAGAAAAUUGCACAGAAGUCGAAGGUUUAUGGGUACUAUUGGUCUUCUGCAAACAUCUGAUAACGGUUUACCACCAACAUAAUGGCGCCGGAUUUCUUAGAUCUGCACCAAAGAUCUUGCUGUCAGUAAUUAGAAUGGUGUUGUCAUCAAUGCUGCAUUGAAUUCUCAUUUCAGUUCAAUUUUUGCUUAUCCCUCACACCACUUUCCACUGGUGCCUGCUUAGGGGAAUGAUCCAUGUUGAACAUUUAGAAGCAAAUGUCUAUUCUAAAGUAAAUUGUGUGCAGUCAGCAGCAGAGAUUCUCAUUUUCCCUGAUCAAUGCUGCAAAGCAGAAUCAUUAUGUGACUUGCUAGUACAGUAAUAAAGUUCAUCAGAAACCACUGAUACAACAAUUUAGUCUGCACCUAAAGUACAAAAUAAAGGUGAAAUGGAUAUAGUCUCCUUACAGCUGAAGUCUAAAGUGUUUCCAUUAUAUUGUGGUAUGGAUUGAUCAUAAUAG